RNAcentral lists this ribosomal RNA (497 nucleotides) under uncultured bacterium. RNAcentral's name for it is "partial 16S ribosomal RNA". It matches the Rfam family "Bacterial small subunit ribosomal RNA", at positions 28 to 507 of the family's 1533-position model. The record is from RNAcentral.
GAUGAACGCUGGCGGCGUGCCUAAUACAUGCAAGUCGAGCGAACAGACGAGGAGCUUGCUCCUUUGACGUUAGCGGCGGACGGGUGAGUAACACGUAGGUAACCUACCUAUAAGACUGGGAUAACUUCGGGAAACCGGAGCUAAUACCGGAUAAUAUUUCGAACCGCAUGGUUCGAUAGUGAAAGAUGGCUUUGCUAUCACUUAUAGAUGGACCUGCGCCGUAUUAGCUAGUUGGUAAGGUAACGGCUUACCAAGGCAACGAUACGUAGCCGACCUGAGAGGGUGAUCGGCCACACUGGAACUGACACACGGUCCAGACUCCUACGGGAGGCAGCAGUAGGGAAUCUUCCGCAAUGGGCGAAAGCCUGACGGAGCAACGCCGCGUGAGUGAUGAAGGUCUUCGGAUCGUAAAACUCUGUUAUUAGGGAAGAACAAACGUGUAAGUAACUGUGCACGUCUUGACGGUACCUAAUCAGAAAGCCACGGCUAACUACGUG